AUUGAACGCUGGCGGCAGGCCUAACACAUGCAAGUCGAGCGGCAGCACAAGGGAGUUUACUCCUGAGGUGGCGAGCGGCGGACGGGUGAGUAAUGCCUAGGGAUCUGCCCAGUCGAGGGGGAUAACAGUUGGAAACGACUGCUAAUACCGCAUACGCCCUACGGGGGAAAGAGGGGGACCUUCGGGCCUCUCGCGAUUGGAUGAACCUAGGUGGGAUUAGCUAGUUGGUGAGGUAAUGGCUCACCAAGGCGACGAUCCCUAGCUGUUCUGAGAGGAUGAUCAGCCACACUGGGACUGAGAAACGGCCCAGACUCCUACGGGAGGCAGCAGUGGGGAAUAUUGCACAAUGGGGGAAACCCUGAUGCAGCCAUGCCGCGUGUGUGAAGAAGGCCUUCGGGUUGUAAAGCACUUUCAGUAGGGAGGAAAGGGUGAGUCUUAAUACGGCUCAUCUGUGACGUUACCUACAGAAGAAGGACCGGCUAACUCCGUGCCAGCCGCCGCGGUAA
This 506-nucleotide ribosomal RNA is filed under the name uncultured bacterium. RNAcentral's name for it is "partial 16S ribosomal RNA". It matches the Rfam family "Bacterial small subunit ribosomal RNA", at positions 30 to 523 of the family's 1533-position model. The record is from RNAcentral.